GGAAUUUUGGACAAUGGGCGCAAGCCUGAUCCAGCAAUGCCGCGUGAGUGAAGAAGGCCUUCGGGUUGUAAAGCUCUUUUGUCAGGGAAGAAACGGGCCUUUCUAAUACAGAGGCCUAAUGACGGUACCUGAAGAAUAAGCACCGGCUAACUACGUGCCAGCAGCCGCGGUAAUACGUAGGGUGCAAGCGUUAAUCGGAAUUACUGGGCGUAAAGCGUGCGCAGGCGGUUUUGUAAGACUGUCGUGAAAUCCCCGGGCUCAACCUGGGAAUGGCGAUGGUGACUGCAAGGCUAGAGUUUGGCAGAGGGGGGUAGAAUUCCACGUGUAGCAGUGAAAUGCGUAGAUAUGUGGAGGAACACCGAUGGCGAAGGCAGCCCCCUGGGUCAAAACUGACGCUCAUGCACGAAAGCGUGGGGAGCAAACAGGAUUAGAUACCCCAG
Molecule: ribosomal RNA, 440 nt
Filed under: uncultured Duganella sp.
Lineage: Bacteria; Pseudomonadati; Pseudomonadota; Betaproteobacteria; Burkholderiales; Oxalobacteraceae
Description: bacterial SSU rRNA
Rfam family: Bacterial small subunit ribosomal RNA
Source: RNAcentral